AGGGCGGUAUCGUAACUGAACUGCACCUGAUAAACAGCUGAUCACCGGGAUUUGAUGAAAUGACUGAUCCGCCUUGAUCCAGAAACCGACAGGGACGGAGAA
This is a non-coding RNA of Edaphobacillus lindanitolerans, 102 nucleotides long. The record is from Rfam. Lineage: Bacteria; Bacillati; Bacillota; Bacilli; Caryophanales; Bacillaceae.